Molecule: small RNA, 65 nt
Filed under: Oceanobacillus picturae
Lineage: Bacteria; Bacillati; Bacillota; Bacilli; Caryophanales; Bacillaceae
Description: Bacillaceae-1 RNA
Source: Rfam by way of RNAcentral
CCGCAGGAAUGCUCCGUUAAAAACGCCACUUCGCGUGGCAACACGGAGCCACCUGGCAUGGCCAG